Molecule: ribosomal RNA, 455 nt
Filed under: uncultured bacterium
Lineage: Bacteria
Description: bacterial SSU rRNA
Rfam family: Bacterial small subunit ribosomal RNA
Source: RNAcentral
ACGCUGGCGGCGUGCCUAACACAUGCAAGUCGAACGGAGUACCUUCGGGUGCUUAGUGGCGAACGGGUGAGUAACGCGUGAAGAACCUGCCUUUCAGUGGGGGACAACAGUUGGAAACGACUGCUAAUACCGCAUAAUGUUAGUUUGGGGGGCAUCCUCGAAUAACCAAAGAUUUAUUGCUGAAAGAUGGCUUCGCGUCUGAUUAGCUAGAUGGCGGGGUAACGGCCCACCAUGGCGACGAUCAGUAGCCGGUCUGAGAGGAUGAACGGCCACAUUGGGACUGAGAUACGGCCCAGACUCCGUACGGGAGGCAGCAGGUGGGGAAUAUUGGGCAAUGGGCGAAAGCCUGACCCAGCAACGCCGCGUGAGGGAAGAAGGGUUUCGGCUCGUAAACCUCUGUCCUAUGGGACGAAGAAGUGACGGUACCAUAGGAGGAAGCCCCGGCUAACUACGUG